RNAcentral lists this ribosomal RNA (292 nucleotides) under uncultured prokaryote. Its description in RNAcentral is "partial 16S ribosomal RNA". It matches the Rfam family "Bacterial small subunit ribosomal RNA", at positions 505 to 796 of the family's 1533-position model. The record is from RNAcentral.
GUGCCAGCAGCCGCGGUAAUACGUAGGGAGCAAGCGUUGUCCGGAAUUAUUGGGCGUAAAGGGUGCGUAGGCGGUUUUGUAAGUCAGAUGAGAAAUCCCCGGGCUUAACUCGGGAGUUGCAUUUGAAACUGCAGAACUUGAGUAAAGAAGAGGUAAGUGGAAUUCCUAGUGUAGCGGUGGAAUGCGUAGAUUUUAGGAGGAACACCAGUGGCGAAGGCGACUUACUGGUCUUUUACUGACGCUGAGGCACGAAAGCGUGGGGAGCAAACAGGAUUAGAAACCCCCGUAGUCC